Molecule: ribosomal RNA, 440 nt
Filed under: uncultured bacterium
Lineage: Bacteria
Description: partial 16S ribosomal RNA
Rfam family: Bacterial small subunit ribosomal RNA
Source: RNAcentral
CUACGGGCUGCUGCAGUGGGGAAUAUUGGACAAUGGGGGGAACCCUGAUGCAGCAACGCCGCGUGGAGGAUGACGCAUUUCGGUGUGUAAACUCCUUUUAUAUGUCAAGAAAAUGACGGUAGCAUAUGAAUAAGCACCGGCUAACUCCGUGCCAGCAGCCGCGGUAAUACGGAGGGGUGCAAGCGUUACUCGGAAUCACUGGGCGUAAAGGACGCGUAGGCGGGUUGGAAAGUCAGGUGUGAAAUCCUACAGCUUAACUGUAGAACUGCACUUGAAACUUCUAAUCUAGAGUAUGGGAGGGGGAGAUGGAAUUAGUGGUGUAGGGGUAAAAUCCGUAGAUAUCACUAGGAAUACCUAAAGCGAAGGCGAUCUCCUGGAACAUUACUGACGCUAAGGCGUGAAAGCGUGGGGAGCAAACAGGAUUAGAUACCCUAGUAGUC